AUACGGAGGACGCGAGCGUUAUCCGGAUUCAUUGGGUUUAAAGGGUGCGCAGGCGGCCGUGCAAGUCAGCGGUGAAAGCCCGGGGCUCAACCCCGGAAGUGCCGUUGAUACUGCGUGGCCGGAAUGCGGUCGAGGCGGGCGGAACGUGGCGUGUAGCGGUGAAAUGCGUAGAUAUGCCACAGAACGCCGAUAGCGGAGGCAGCGCGCCAGGCCUGCAUUGACGCUCGGGCACGAAAGCGUGGGGAUCGAACAGGAUUAGAUACCCUGGUAGUCCACGCCGUAAACGAUGGGCGCUCGUCGUCGGCAACAGACAGUCGGCGGCCAAGCGAAAGCGAUAAGCGCCCCACCUGGGGAGUACGGUCGCAAGGCUGAAACUCAAAUGAAUUGACGGGG
Molecule: ribosomal RNA, 393 nt
Filed under: uncultured bacterium
Lineage: Bacteria
Description: partial 16S ribosomal RNA
Rfam family: Bacterial small subunit ribosomal RNA
Source: RNAcentral